This 786-nucleotide long non-coding RNA is filed under the name Salmo salar (Atlantic salmon). RNAcentral describes it as "lncRNA (ENSSSAG00000108472.1)". Lineage: Eukaryota; Metazoa; Chordata; Actinopteri; Salmoniformes; Salmonidae. The record is from RNAcentral.
CUUGAUUAUCUCUAUCCAUUACAGGGGAUCUCUGCUGUUACGUGACACUUCCUACGGCUCCCAUGAGCUCUCAGAAGGCGGCAAAAAGCUGAAUCGUGGCUUUGCAGGCUCUGGCUGAAAAAAAGUAGCUCGUUUGGUAGUGGCUGGUCACAGUACUGUGAGACUCAGGCACAUGCACGAGGGGACUCCAUGUUUUAUCUUUGAACGAAAACCACCGCUCCCGGUCGGGAAUAUUAUCGCUUUUUUACGAGAAAAAUGGCAUAAAAAUUGAUUUUAAACAGCGGCUGACAUGCUUCGAAGUACGGUAAUGGAAUAUUUAGAAUUUUUUUGUCACGAAAUGCGUCAUGCGCGUGACCCUUAUUUACACUUCGGAUAGUGUCUUGAACGCACGAACAAAACGCCGCUAUUUGGAUAUAACUAUGGAUUAUUUUGGACCAAACCAACAUUUGUUAUUGAAGUAGCAGUCCUGGGAGUGCAUUCUGACGAAGAACACCAAAGACAAUACCGUGUGGUGCCUGGGCUUCUUUCUGGAGUGGAUUAUAGGACAAUGACCCAACACACCUCCAGGCUGUGUAAGGGCUAUUUGACCAAGAAGGAGAGUGAUGGAGUGGUGCAUCAGAUGACCUGGCCUCCAACAUACCUCAACCAAAUUGAGAUGGUUUGGGAUGUGUCGGACCGCAAGUGCAUAGCAUAUGUGGGAACUCCUUCAAGACUUUUGGAAAAGCAUUCCAGUGAAGCCGCUCAACGACUACACCACACCAGUCAUCCAACAGACUCCCAUUCAGA